UGGGGAAUCUUCCACAAUGGGCGAAAGCCUGAUGGAGCAACGCCGCGUGUGUGAUGAAGGGUUUCAGCUCGUAAAACACUGUUGUAAGAGAAGAAUGACAUUGAGAGUAACUGUUCAAUGUGUGACGGUAUCUUACCAGAAAGGAACGGCUAAAUACGUGCCA
This 163-nucleotide ribosomal RNA is filed under the name uncultured bacterium. RNAcentral's name for it is "partial 16S rRNA". It matches the Rfam family "Bacterial small subunit ribosomal RNA", at positions 355 to 510 of the family's 1533-position model. The record is from RNAcentral.